AUCUCGCGCCAAAGGCUGGAGAUGCAGCAUUUGAUCAACAGUACACGACAUUGUUGAAGCCAGAGAAAUUUCGGCUCAACGCAGCUAUUGUACCAAUUGAUGCUGACUUCCUCGACCAGGUACGGGCCGCAACCAUUGAAGAUUCUCUAGCCCUUGAUAUCAAGCAACAUGCUAGUGAUGAUAAAUUCAAGAUGGAAGGAGAUCUAG
RNAcentral lists this long non-coding RNA (207 nucleotides) under Physcomitrium patens. RNAcentral's name for it is "long non-coding RNA (PPAT_LNC003050)". Lineage: Eukaryota; Viridiplantae; Streptophyta; Bryopsida; Funariales; Funariaceae. The record is from RNAcentral.